AAAAAUCUAUUUACAAGUAUUUCAAUUGUCACAAGACUAGUCACUUCAUGAAGGACUUUCUUGAGAAGGGAAAUGACAGUUUUUUGGCAAGUGACAAUUGAAUCAGAUGAUGUUUAUGAGAGUGUGGGGCACUAGUGGCAACAAGUUUGGAAAAAAAAUUGGGUCAAAGAUUCUGGUUAUUCUUAUCACAUAUGUCUGAGAAAGAAAUCUUUUGAAACUUUU
RNAcentral lists this long non-coding RNA (222 nucleotides) under Lathyrus oleraceus (garden pea). Its description in RNAcentral is "Pisum sativum (pea) long non-coding RNA (PSAT_LNC034800)". The record is from RNAcentral. Lineage: Eukaryota; Viridiplantae; Streptophyta; Magnoliopsida; Fabales; Fabaceae.